UACGAAGGGGACUAGCGUUGUUCGGAAUUACUGGGCGUAAAGCGCACGUAGGCGGAUUUGUAAGUCAGGGGUGAAAUCCCGGGGCUCAACCUCGGAACUGCCUUUGAUACUGCAAAUCUCGAGUCCGAUAGAGGUGGGUGGAAUUCCUAGUGUAGAGGUGAAAUUCGUAGAUAUUAGGAAGAACACCGGUGGCGAAGGCGGCCCACUGGAUCGGUACUGACACUGAGGUGCGAAAGCGUGGGGAGCAAACAGG
RNAcentral lists this ribosomal RNA (253 nucleotides) under uncultured bacterium. RNAcentral describes it as "partial 16S ribosomal RNA". It matches the Rfam family "Bacterial small subunit ribosomal RNA", at positions 524 to 776 of the family's 1533-position model. The record is from RNAcentral.